This is a non-coding RNA of Sus scrofa (pig), 3035 nucleotides long. The record is from RefSeq and is a predicted model, not a curated record. Lineage: Eukaryota; Metazoa; Chordata; Mammalia; Artiodactyla; Suidae.
UCACAGCUCAGGGCAACGCCGAAUCCUUAACCCACUGAGCAAGGCCAGGGAUCAAACCCACAACCUCAUGGUUCCUAGUCGGACUCGUUAACCACUGCGCCACGACGGGAACUCCAAGAGGGCCUUUUUCCUAACAGAACCAAAGGUCCUGCUCUCUUUUUCCCCUAGUACUCACAGUCAAGGACAGAGGCCUGCCCCUCACCAGGACAUCAGAGACCCGUCGGGACCUUUCUCCCCCCUGCCCCUUGAGGAACCCUGGCUGGCUUGCCGCACUACACCUAUUCUAUAUUACCCAGGGAGGCGCAAGCAAGCCCAAUGCCCAGCACAGAGAAAACGCUUGGUGCCACUACAAAGAAGUACAUUUCUGUUUAGCAAGACUUUUUGCCGGGUCCAAGACUCCAGCGAAUUGUGAGGUUUUAAUCCUAACUUUGCCCUCCCUCCCUUUGGGGACCACCCUGGAAUAGUCCACUAACAUCUGCAUCGGCUGUUCCCCGAUGACACCACCAAGGGGCGCGCGAGAUGGAACAUCUGUCAUGGGACGUACCACUGACAGGGCCGGAGGUAAGACCAUUCACUCGGAAGGUACCAUUAGAGGGUAGGAGGCGGUCGUUCUGGAAUAAUCCAUCGUGUUCCAAUACUGAGGGUUCACGUACACUGCGGAGGGCGUUAACCACAGUUCCCGGAGGAGGCUCUCAUGGAGCCGCUGGGUCCAUCCCCAUUGUAUCCUCUCCGUCUUCCCGGAGCAUUCGAGCACGAGUACACACUGAAUACCAGGAUGCAGCCUUCUUUCUACCUACUCCAAGUUCACCCCUUCGUUUCUAUAUGGUCACCUCUAGCUGGGGCUGACGGCAACGGGGCAAGGGAUUGGCUCCCGGAGGCGGUGGGAGGGGUCGGAAAGGAUUAUGAGUGAUGAUUGGUCAGGGCGAGAUUGCUCUUCCGUUGUCCCAACCAGCGACGGAAGUCCUCUACUCCCACCCUCCGUAGUCGUCUGCCCAGUUCCGAUUGGCCGUCUGUUUGGGGGGGCCCCGAGGUCGCAGAGUUGAAGCGCAGCGUGAGAGGUGAACGUAUGCGUCUUUGCGCUUGCGCAUGCGUGCGUGCGUGCAUUUCCGUGCGCUUGCGCGUGCGGGUAUUUUUCACACUACAUUUUCUCCGAGCGGGUCUGUGCUACUGACUGUCCGGAAGGGGUAUCGUAGCUGCCCCGGUCAGUAGCGCGGUUAGGCUCAGUCGCUGGCUGUGCGGAGUGACGGUGCUGUCUUCACUACUCACAGUCAAGGACAGAGGCCUGCCCCUCACCAGGACAUCAGAGACCCGUCGGGACCUUUCUCCCCCCUGCCCCUUGAGGAACCCUGGCUGGCUUGCCGCACUACACCUAUUCUAUAUUACCCAGGGAGGCGCAAGCAAGCCCAAUGCCCAGCACAGAGAAAACGCUUGGUGCCACUACAAAGAAGUACAUUUCUGUUUAGCAAGACUUUUUGCCGGGUCCAAGACUCCAGCGAAUUGUGAGGUUUUAAUCCUAACUUUGCCCUCCCUCCCUUUGGGGACCACCCUGGAAUAGUCCACUAACAUCUGCAUCGGCUGUUCCCCGAUGACACCACCAAGGGGCGCGCGAGAUGGAACAUCUGUCAUGGGACGUACCACUGACAGGGCCGGAGGUAAGACCAUUCACUCGGAAGGUACCAUUAGAGGGUAGGAGGCGGUCGUUCUGGAAUAAUCCAUCGUGUUCCAAUACUGAGGGUUCACGUACACUGCGGAGGGCGUUAACCACAGUUCCCGGAGGAGGCUCUCAUGGAGCCGCUGGGUCCAUCCCCAUUGUAUCCUCUCCGUCUUCCCGGAGCAUUCGAGCACGAGUACACACUGAAUACCAGGAUGCAGCCUUCUUUCUACCUACUCCAAGUUCACCCCUUCGUUUCUAUAUGGUCACCUCUAGCUGGGGCUGACGGCAACGGGGCAAGGGAUUGGCUCCCGGAGGCGGUGGGAGGGGUCGGAAAGGAUUAUGAGUGAUGAUUGGUCAGGGCGAGAUUGCUCUUCCGUUGUCCCAACCAGCGACGGAAGUCCUCUACUCCCACCCUCCGUAGUCGUCUGCCCAGUUCCGAUUGGCCGUCUGUUUGGGGGGGCCCCGAGGUCGCAGAGUUGAAGCGCAGCGUGAGAGGUGAACGUAUGCGUCUUUGCGCUUGCGCAUGCGUGCGUGCGUGCAUUUCCGUGCGCUUGCGCGUGCGGGUAUUUUUCACACUACAUUUUCUCCGAGCGGGUCUGUGCUACUGACUGUCCGGAAGGGGUAUCGUAGCUGCCCCGGUCAGUAGCGCGGUUAGGCUCAGUCGCUGGCUGUGCGGAGUGACGGUGCUGUCUUCACGUGAGCUCUUUCAGUCUUGUCGAGCCCACAUUCUGGAGCUUGUGGUUCCCCAUGGUCAAUCGCACAGAUUCACGUAAAGUCCAGAGAGAGGUCUCUGAGUUUGUUUGGUGUCUCUCCCUGGGAAGUAACGUGUGUCAUGCAGUUCGAAGCUAUGUAUCGCUACGCCUGACAUCAUAGAUGCUAGUUGGGUCCAUGUGAUGUCUUUGAGCGCUUUGGGGAGUUUUUGGUGAACGGAAUAGUUUAUCUAACUGGAUUUUGGGAGCCAUGGUUCAAAGAGCCUUAGGCUUUGUCUGCCUUGUAUAUUUGGGUAUGCACUUUCUGAGCUUUGGAGUCACUGGGUUUUAGACUGCUCUGUAGGCGUGUGCACCCCGGACUGUGAGGUGUCUGAGCUAUUUGCGAUUCUGACUACCAACUUAUGAAGUCUCUGAGCUGCUUUGGGAAGGCUUUGUCCAAAGGCGUAGAGGAUCUCAGCUGUUUGGGGUUUGGGUGUCAGGAGUAACGUCUCUUACCGUUUUGGCCUUAAAGUCUCUGUCCAGGAACGGAGGGGUUUGGAACCUGGUAGAUAGGAUUCCAAAGCCGCGAACCCCACGUGCUGGUUGUGUGUCUUGAGCAAGUCACUUCUCUUCUGGAGUUGCACUAUGUAUCAUAAUGAAUUAAAUGGGGCCAAUGGCCAUCAUGGGCAGUA